This 304-nucleotide RNase P RNA is filed under the name Riemerella columbipharyngis. Its description in RNAcentral is "Riemerella sp. R8151 Bacterial RNase P class A". It matches the Rfam family "Bacterial RNase P class A". From Rfam's summary of the family: Ribonuclease P (RNase P) is a ubiquitous endoribonuclease, found in archaea, bacteria and eukarya as well as chloroplasts and mitochondria. Its best characterised activity is the generation of mature 5'-ends of tRNAs by cleaving the 5'-leader elements of precursor-tRNAs. Lineage: Bacteria; Pseudomonadati; Bacteroidota; Flavobacteriia; Flavobacteriales; Weeksellaceae. The record is from Rfam by way of RNAcentral.
CAACAGAGACGGCUUGUUGCUUUGCUUAGCAGAGAGGAAAGUCCGGACACCAUAGGGCAGCAUAGCGGCUAACGGCCGUCCACAGUGAUGUGAGGACCAGUGCAACAGAAAGCAAGUACAGUUCGGCUGUAGUGAAAUCAGGUAAACUCUAUGCGGUGUAAUGCCAAGUAUAUCGGCAACUAAGGGCGGCUCGUCCAAUGCCGAGGGGUAGGCAGCUAAAGCCUUUCAGCAAUGGUAGGCGUAGAUAAAUAACAAGCACUUUGUUCGCAAAGUACAGAAUCCGGCUUAUAGUCCCUGUUGUGGU